RNAcentral lists this long non-coding RNA (2587 nucleotides) under Medicago truncatula (barrel medic). RNAcentral describes it as "long non-coding RNA (MTRU_LNC000842)". Lineage: Eukaryota; Viridiplantae; Streptophyta; Magnoliopsida; Fabales; Fabaceae. The record is from RNAcentral.
AGGAAUUGACGGAUAUUAUUUGUCCCAUAUGUUGCUAGUGUUGGGAUGACUCAAUGAUUUUAUGAUCUAGAGUGCAAUUCUAUACUAUGAAUUGUCACUCAUAUAUGAUAUAUGAGCCUAAAUUUUGAAACUAUUAUGAUGCCUCGAUGACCCGAAAGAAAUUGACGGAUAUUAUUUGUCCCAUAUGUUGCUAGUGUUGGGAUGCCUUAAUGAUUUUAUGAUCUUGAGUGCAAUUCUAUACUAUGAAUUGUCACUCAUAAAAGAUAUACGAGUCUAAAUUUUGAAACUAUUAUGAUGCCUCGAUGACACGAAAGGAAUUGACGGAUAUUAUUUGUCCCAUAUGUUGGCAAGUGUUGGGAUGCCUCAAUGAUUUUAUGAUCUUGAGUGCAAUUCUAUACUAUGAAUUGUCACUCAUAAUAUAUAUCAGCCUAAAUUUUGAAACUAUUAUGAUGCCUCGAUGACACGAAAGGAAUUGACGGAUAUUAUUUGUCCCAUAUGUCGGCAAGUGUUGGGAUGCCUCAAUGAUUUUAUGAUCUAGAGUGCAAUUAUAUACUAUGAAUUGUCACUCAUAUAUGAUAUAUGAGCCUAAAUUUUGAAACUAUUAUGAUGCCUCGAUGACCCGUAAGGAAUUGACGGAUAUUAUUUGUCCCAUAUGUUGCCAGUGUUGGGAUGCCUCAAUGAUUUUAUGAUCUUGAGUGCAAUUCUAUACUAUGAAUUGUCACUCAUAUAUGAUAUAUGAGCCUAAAUUUUGAAACUAUUAUGAUGCCUUGAUGAACCGAAAGGAAUUGACGGAUAUUAUUUGUCCCAUAUGUUGCCAGUGUUGGGAUGCCUCAAUGAUUUUAUGAAAUUUUGAAACUAUUAUGAUGCCUCGAUGACCUGAAAGGAAUUGACGGAUAUUAUUUGUUUCAUAUGUUGCUAGUGUGUUGUGAUGCCUCAGUGAUUUUAUGAUCUUGAGUGCAAUUCUAUAAUAUGAAUUGUGACUCAUAUAUGAUAUAUGAGCCUAAAUUUUAAACUAUCAUGAUGCCUCGAUGACCCGAAAGGAAUUGACGGAUAUUAUUUGUACCAUAUGUUGCAAGUGUUGGGAUGCCUCGGUGAUUUUAUGAUAUUGAUUGCAAUUCUAUAAUAUGAAUUGUCACUCAUAUAUGAUAUAUGAGCUUAAAUUUUGAAACUAUUAUGAUGUCUCGAUGACCUGAAAGGAAUUGACGGAUAUUAUUUGCCCCGUAUGUUGCAAGUGUUGGGAUGCCUCAGUGAUUUUAUGAUCUUGAGUGCAAUUCUAUAAUAUGAAUUGUGACUCAUAUAUGAUAUAUGAGCCUAGAUUUUGAAACUAUUAUGAUGCCUCGAUGACUCGAAAGGAAUUGAUGGAUGUUAUUUGUCCGAUAUGUUGCAAGUGUUGGGAUGCCUCAAUGAUUUUAUGAUCUUGAGUGCAAUUCUAUACCAUGAAUCGUCACUCAUAUAUGAUAUAUGAGCCUAAAUUUUGAAACUAUUAUGAUGCCUCGAUGACCCGAAAGAAAUUGACGGAUAUUAUUUGUCCCAUAUGUUGCAACUGUUGGGAUGCCUCAAUGAUUUUAUGAUCUAGAGUGCAAUUCUAUACUAUGAAUUGUCACUCAUAUAUGAUAUAUGAGCCUAAAUUUUGAAACGAUUAUGAUGCCUCGAUGACCCGAAAGGAAUUGACGGAUUUUAUUUGUCCCAUAUGUUGCAAGUGUUGGGAUGCCUCAAUGAUUUUAUGAUCUAGAGUGCAAUUCUAUACUAUGAAUUGUCACUCAUAUAUGAUAUAUGAGCCUAAAUUUUGAAACUAUUAUGAUGCCUCGAUGACCCGAAAGGAAUUGACGGAUUUUAUUUGUCCCAUAUGUUGCAAGUGUUGGGAUGGCUCAAUGAUUUUAUGAUCUAGAGUGCAAUUCUAUACUAUGAAUUGUCACUCAUAUAUGAUAUAUGAGCCUAAAUUUUGAAACUAUUAUGAUGCCUCGAUGACCUGAAAGGAAUUGACGGAUAUUAUUUGUCCCAUAUGUUGCCAGUGUUGGGAUGCCUCAAUGAUUUUAUGAUCUAGAGUGCAAUUCUAUACUAUGAAUUGUCACUCAUAUAUGAUAUAUGAGCCUAAAUUUUGAAACUAUUAUGAUGCCUCGAUGACCCGAAAGGAAUUGACGUAUUUUAUUUGUCCCAUAUGUUGCAAGUGUUGGGAUGCCUCAAUGAUUUUAUGAUCUAGAGUGCAAUUCUCUACUAUGAAUUGUCACUCAUAUAUGAUAUAUGAGCCUAAAUUUUGAAACUAUUAUGAUGCCUCGAUGACCCGAAAGGAAUUGACGGAUAUUAUUUGUCCCAUAUGUUGCAAGUGUUGGGAUGGCUCAAUGAUUUUAUGAUCUAGAGUGCAAUUCUAUACUAUGAAUUGUCACUCAUAUAUGAUAUAUGAGCCUAAAUUUUGAAACUAUUAUGAUGCCUCAAUGACCCGAAAGGAAUUGACGGAUAUUAUUUGUCCCAUAUGUUGCUAGUGUUGGGAUGCCUCAAUGAUUUUAUGAUCUUGAGUGGAAUUCUAUACUAUGAAUUGUCACUCAUAUAUGAUAUAUGAGCCUAAAUUUUGAAACUAUUAUGAUGCCUC